This 465-nucleotide ribosomal RNA is filed under the name uncultured bacterium. RNAcentral describes it as "partial 16S ribosomal RNA". It matches the Rfam family "Bacterial small subunit ribosomal RNA", at positions 338 to 795 of the family's 1533-position model. The record is from RNAcentral.
CCUACGGGAGGCAGCAGUGGGGAAUAUUGCACAAUGGGCGAAAGCCUGCCGCAGCGACGCCGCGUGAGUGCUGAAGGUCUUCGGGUCGUAAACCUCUGUCAGCAGGGAAGAACGCUCACUGUGCUAAUCAGCCAUGAAUUGACGUUACCUGCAGAGGCAGCACCGGCUAACUCCGUGCCAGCAGCCGCGGUAAUACGGAGGGUGCAAGCGUUAAUCGGAAUUACUGGGCGUAAAGCGCUCGUAGGCGGUAGGUCAAGUCAAGUGUGAAAUCCCCGCGCUCAACGUGGGAACUGCCUUGGAAACUGGCAAACUGGAGUGUGGUAGAGGAGAGUAGAAUUCCAGGUGUAGGAGUGAAAUGCGUAGAGAUCUGGAGGAACACCAGUGGCGAAGGCGACCAGCUGGAAAAUAACUGACGCUGAGGAGCGAAAGCGUGGGUAGCAAACAGGAUUAGAUACCCUUGUAGUC